RNAcentral lists this ribosomal RNA (402 nucleotides) under uncultured prokaryote. Its description in RNAcentral is "bacterial SSU rRNA". It matches the Rfam family "Bacterial small subunit ribosomal RNA", at positions 355 to 774 of the family's 1533-position model. The record is from RNAcentral.
UGGGGAAUAUUACACAAUGGAGGAAACUCUGAUGUAGCAACGCCGCGUGGAGGAUGACACAUUUCGGUGCGUAAACUCCUUUUAUAUGGGAAGAUAAUGACGGUACCAUAUGAAUAAGCACCGGCUAACUCCGUGCCAGCAGCCGCGGUAAUACGGAGGGUGCAAGCGUUACUCGGAAUCACUGGGCGUAAAGCGCGCGCAGGCGGCUUUGUAAGUUGGAUGUGAAAUCCUAUGGCUUAACCAUAGAACUGCAUCCAAAACUACUUAGCUAGAGUCUGGGAGGGGAAGAUGGAAUUAGUGGUGUAGGGGUAAAAUCCGUAGAGAUCACUAGGAAUACCAAAAGCGAAGGCGAUCUUCUGGAACAGUACUGACGCUGAGGCGCGAAAGCGUGGGGAGCAAACA